GACAGAGGGGGCAAGCGUUGUUCGGAUUUACUGGGCGUAAAGGGCGCGUAGGCGGCGCGGUAAGUCACUUGUGAAAUCUCUGAGCUUAACUCAGAACGGCCAAGUGAUACUGCAGUGCUAGAGUGUGGAAGGGGCAAUCGGAAUUCUUGGUGUAGCGGUGAAAUGCGUAGAUAUCAAGAGGAACACCUGAGGUGAAGACGGGUUGCUGGGCCAACACUGACGCUGAGGCGCGAAAGCCAGGGGAGCAAACGGG
RNAcentral lists this ribosomal RNA (253 nucleotides) under uncultured bacterium. Its description in RNAcentral is "partial 16S ribosomal RNA". It matches the Rfam family "Bacterial small subunit ribosomal RNA", at positions 524 to 776 of the family's 1533-position model. The record is from RNAcentral.